RNAcentral lists this long non-coding RNA (1040 nucleotides) under Sinocyclocheilus grahami. Its description in RNAcentral is "lncRNA (ENSSGRG00000023529.1)". The record is from RNAcentral. Lineage: Eukaryota; Metazoa; Chordata; Actinopteri; Cypriniformes; Cyprinidae.
CAGACACUCUCACCUACUCUCACUUACACACACAAACACAUGCUCACCUUCUCUCACAUAUCAGAUACAUGCACCUACUGAUGUGUGAUCACACACAAACACUCAUUUUUGCUAACUUCAGUGGACUCCUACAGAGUGUGACACACAUGAAAUCUCUACUUGAUUUUAACUUGACAGUGUGCCACAUGUUCAUAACCAGCCCAUAAAACAUCCAUUGUCAAUCUGGAUAUAAAUAGAAAUAAAGCAUUAAGAAUGUUCUGCUCUCUUCACAGUGUAAGAAGAAACACACGCUGGUGUGUCCAGACUUCUCCAGUACUGGUGUGUGUCCACGUGGAUCCAAAUGCAAGUUGCACCACAGACAGAGCUUGAAACGCUCCGGCUCUAACGCAAGCUUUGAACCAGCCAAUAAAGCCUGUACUAGAGACAUUUUAAAGAGUUCGGAGGAUGUUCAGACUCUUCAGACAGAGUCCAUACAGGCAGAUGAGGGCCCGUCCAGCUCGUGUCCUGAGAAGCUGCCUUCCUUCAUCUCCUUGUCCACCUCUCCUGACAUGUCAGAGAACCCUGAUACCCCAAAGCUCCCUCCUACUGCAGGCCCACAGGCCAAAGGAAAGACACUACAUAUCAAGCCACGAUUCUUAUCUACAACCCAGACAGAAAGCUUGUCAAAGGAGGGCUGAUGGUGGGUGUUUUAAUCGGUAAUACACCAUAAAACAUUUUUUUAAACUUAAUUUUUACUUUAAAAAUGAGAAAUUCUCCUAAACUUGUUACAAAAUGGUUUACAAAGACAUCUUUACUUGAGACGUCCACAGCUACUUUUUGGUGUGAAGUCAUAUGUUUGGGUUCAGGAAAUGCAAUUCUAAGAAUUGAUUAAACAUUUCUCAGAAUAUGUUCAUAUUACAGAACUGAAUGUAUGCAUUAUAAUCAAAUACUGUUCUGAAAAACUGCAGACGUUCACAUUCUUGAAGUUAGUUUCAAAAUAUACGGUAAGUGUAAUUCUCAGGGAUUUUUAAAAUGGCAUUUCUGUAGUGGUUUGUUAUGCA